UACAGUACUCACAGAGAUGGGGAAAGCAAUGAAAAGCAUAAGGGGGACAAGAUCUACAAAAGCCAUACCCUACAAGCAAAAGAGCCUCUGACUACAUUAAAAGGAUUAAAAACCACAAUUAAAACUGCAGCUAAAGUCCUAUUGUACCUUCACAAUGGGACUCUGCCCACGCUACCCUCAGAUGAACUAGGAACCAAAGAGACACUGCUCCCAGAACACAGCAGCAUGGAAGCUGGAUGUGGUGGUCACACCAAGAAUGCUCAGAUAUGCAGGAGGCUGAAGCAAGAAGAAUGUAAACUUAAGGUCAGUCUAGGCAACUUGGUGAGUUCCUGUCUCAAAAUAAAACUGCAGAAAAGGGCUGAGGAUGUAGCUCAGUAGUAGUUACCUAGUCUGUGCAAGGCCCUAGAUAAAAUCUCUCAUACUGGGAUCCAAAAAAAAAAAGCAUUAUGGAGAGACUCUAAGAGUUCCUCCCUUUAGCCAAUAACUUUCCAAUAUCUAUGCCAGUGAAGAGGGGCUAAAGUGGGGGCAUUCCUCACUACAUAAAAUAACGAAAUGUCCCAAACACAAAGCAUAACCAUUCAAAGAGUAUUCAUACCCAUUAGCUGUCUUUAUAGGUAUUUGAUCUGCUCCCUCCCAGCUUUUAAAUGAGAACCUAUAGAUUAUCCAUCUGAUCUGGGGAAUGAAUGAG
Molecule: long non-coding RNA, 688 nt
Filed under: Fukomys damarensis (Damara mole-rat)
Lineage: Eukaryota; Metazoa; Chordata; Mammalia; Rodentia; Bathyergidae
Description: lncRNA (ENSFDAG00000022205.1)
Source: RNAcentral